UGUGUAUUUUUUUUUUGUUCAUUUUUAAACUAGACCUUGUGAAAGAGCUGUUUCUUCUGUGCUUUUGAACUGGAAGAUCUGUGGAAGCUUGGGUGUUCCCCCAGAUGCAUUCAAGCGAGUUUCCUCAUGGAAAUGUAACCCAUUCAAUAGCAAACCCACAAGGAAACGUUAAUAUCUUGAGAUCCAGCUGGUGACAGAAGGACCUCCAAGGACUGAUGACUUGGCUAAAAUCUCUCUGUAUUUUCAGCUUGCAACUGCAAUGGCCACGCCUAUGACUGCUAUUACGACCCCGAGGUGGAUCGCCACAAAGCCAGCAAGAGUCGUGAAGACAGAUACGAAGGGGGAGGUGUCUGCAUUGACUGCCAGCAUCACACCACUGGCAUUAACUGUGAGAGGUGCAUCCCAGGAUACUACCGCUCCCCUGACCACCCGAUCGACUCUCCCUACAUUUGCUAUCGCUGUAACUGCGAAUCUGACUUCACCGAUGGCACCUGUGAGGACCUCACCGGCCGCUGUUACUGCAAGCCCAAUUACACCGGGGAGCGCUGCGAUGCCUGUGCUGAGGGAUACCUCGACUUCCCCCACUGCUACCCUGUUCCAGCUUUCGCUUACAACGAUACCGGAGAACAAGUGCUCCCUGCGGGACAGAUAA
RNAcentral lists this long non-coding RNA (652 nucleotides) under Anas zonorhyncha (Eastern spot-billed duck). RNAcentral describes it as "lncRNA (ENSAZOG00000001814.1)". The record is from RNAcentral. Lineage: Eukaryota; Metazoa; Chordata; Aves; Anseriformes; Anatidae.